Molecule: long non-coding RNA, 1923 nt
Filed under: Sus scrofa (pig)
Lineage: Eukaryota; Metazoa; Chordata; Mammalia; Artiodactyla; Suidae
Description: lncRNA (ENSSSCG00000051065.2)
Source: RNAcentral
AGCUUGCCUCUUUUUCUUGCCCCUGAUGACUUGCAUUUUCUCCCAGACAGCUGCCAUUUUGGUCUUCCAGCCAUUCUCAAGACUAGAAGUGUACAGCUUUGCGCAAGGGCAACUUCUCUGCAUGGCAGAGGUGAGGGGAAAUGAAAAUGAUGCUGGGACUAAGUGUCGCCUCUCUGAGAAGUGUCGCAGUCGCAGUCAUGUGGCAUAUUAGCGGCACACAGAAGCGAAGCCCAUGUAAAAGGCUGGAGUAAAAAGGACCAGCUCUCCACAUGACACACGCCUGUAGUACACCGUGACUGGCAGGUCUGUUACAUUUCCCAGAAUGGUUCCCAGCGCUGGAGCUAAUUCCUUUUCGGAGAACCUACAUUUCUCACCUGCUGAUUGCAAUUAGCCACUGCCAGCUGGGGCCUGGUAUGCAGCGGAAAAGCUAACAAGAAGUAGAGACCGCGCGGAACCCAGACAGGGCAGAGGAUGUGCAUAAGUUUUGUUGAAACUGUCAACAGGGCAAGAGGUGAAUGCAGCAAAUCGUAAGGAGAAGACCUGAAUGAGGCAAGUGGCCACUCACCUUGUACCUGGGUCCCAAAUCCCCAGAGGCUCCAGGCUCAGCAACAGAUGCUCACAAUGAUGGCAACUGCUGAAGUUGAUGGGUAAUGAUUUUGCGGCAUCGUCUCCACUGACUCGGGCCCUCCUCCACCCUGGCUGCUGCUGAAGACCCCAGGAAGCAUGGCCCUGACCUCUGUUUAGUCUCCAUUCAGGAGCAGCCGGCCACCAUGUUGUAAGGCAACCCUGUGCCUGAGGCCAGCCAGCAGCCCUAAGAGUGGGCUUAGGAGCAGAUCCUGCCCCCACCGAGCCUGGAAAUGGGACUGCAACCCCAGUGAUACCUGGACUGAAGCCUCGUGAGGGACACCGAGCCAGAGAACCCAGCUAAGCCGCGUCCAAAUUCCUGACCUUCAGAGAUGAACCUAGCUGCCGUGCUGGGAGAAGCCCAGACCAUCUGGAAGAGGCCACAUGGAGGAGAACGGAAGCUCUGGACCCCAGCCCUGGCGGAGCUCCGCAGCCGGCCGCCGUCAGCACCAACGUGGCAGCCACGUGAGGGAGCCAUCUUGAAAGUGGACCUUCCAGCCCCAGCCGAGCCACCCCAGUUGACACCCCAUGAGGUGGAGGGCUCUCAUCCCAUUGCUGCUCUGCCCUGGGAGUCGGCAGCUGAUGACACGGGCUGGCCCCUGAUUGCCAAUCUGGAUGACGCCUUGAAACACCGCAUCCCCGCGAUCCCCUCAAACGCAGCUGUGAUUAGUCUGAUCUCCAAGGCCUCGGAGAAAAACCCCAGUGACUGAAUAAUAAUGGGAAGGUCAGGCUUGAAGGGUGGAAAGUCUGACACUGAGGGGCUGUUUGAACGCAGUGAAGUUUUAUUCAUUCCACGUGCGUGAAAUAAGGGCUAACAGGAUGGUCAGGGAGCAGCUCUGACUUAAUGAAUGGAUACGAAUCACGGACGGGGUCCCUUUCUUUUUUUUAAGAACAGAAAUGGGUACUAUUGAAAUGAUCUUUGCAUCUGUAGAAGCAAUUUGAAUUCUUGACUGAGCUGGGAGUCGCCUUUCCAAACGUGACUGAGAAUGUGGCUCUGGCACCUGACUGCUUGUGCUUCGACUUCGGGCUGUGUGACCUUGGGCAAGUCUGUGACCUCUCCGUGCCUCCCGAUCAUCAGCUGUAAAGUGGACAGAAUAAGAAGACCUUGCUCACAGGGUUGCUUUGAAGAUGAACUGAGACAUCCAUAUAAAGCACUCCAGCCCCUUCUUCAGAGUCAGAACUCAGUCAAUGUUAUAUAUUAUCAUUCUAUUAUUAUGAGUGUUUUUUUCCCCCAAGGAUACUGCCGAGAUUAACAUCAGUUCUGGUUCUCCGUGAUGACAAAAUAAAUCCAAAUUUCUG